GGAGGGGUGCGAGAGCGGCCGAAUCGGACGGUCUCGAAAACCGUUGUACCUCCGGGUACCGUGGGUUCAAAUCCCACCCCCUCCG
Molecule: transfer RNA, 85 nt
Filed under: Actinomycetota bacterium
Lineage: Bacteria; Bacillati; Actinomycetota
Description: tRNA-Ser
Rfam family: tRNA
About the family: Transfer RNA (tRNA) molecules are approximately 80 nucleotides in length. Their secondary structure includes four short double-helical elements and three loops (D, anti-codon, and T loops). Further hydrogen bonds mediate the characteristic L-shaped molecular structure. tRNAs have two regions of fundamental functional importance: the anti-codon, which is responsible for specific mRNA codon recognition, and the 3' end, to which the tRNAs corresponding amino acid is attached (by aminoacyl-tRNA synthetases). tRNAs cope with the degeneracy of the genetic code in two manners: having more than one tRNA (with a specific anti-codon) for a particular amino acid; and 'wobble' base-pairing, i.e. permitting non-standard base-pairing at the 3rd anti-codon position.
Source: RNAcentral